RNAcentral lists this ribosomal RNA (406 nucleotides) under uncultured bacterium. Its description in RNAcentral is "partial 16S ribosomal RNA". It matches the Rfam family "Bacterial small subunit ribosomal RNA", at positions 28 to 526 of the family's 1533-position model. The record is from RNAcentral.
GACGAACGCUGGCGGCAGGCCUAACACAUGCAAGUCGAACGAGUGGCGGACGGGUGAGUAAUGUCUGGGAAACUGCCUGCUGGAGGGGGAUCACUACUGGAAACGGUAGCUAAUACCGCAUACCAUAAGAUGUGCCCAAAUGGGAUUAGCUUGUUGGUGGGGUAACUGCUCACCAAGGCGACGAUCCCUAGCUGGUCUGAUAGGAUGACAAGCCAAACGGGAACGGAGACACGGUCCAGAAUCCAACGGGAGGCAGCAGUGGGGAAUAUUGCACAAUGGGCGCAAGCCUGAUGCAGCCAUGCCGAGUGUAUGAAGAAGGCCUUCGGGUUAUAAAGUACUUUCAGCGGGGAGGCGUUACCCGCAGAAGAAGCACCGACUAACUCCGUGCCAGCAGCCGCGGGAAUUC